AGUGGCGGACGGGUGAGUGACGCGUGGGUAACCUGCCCUAUGCAGGGGGAUAACAGUUGGAAACGACUGUUAAUACCGCAUAAGCGCACAGUAUCGCAUGGUACAGUGUGAAAAACGUCCGGGUGGCAUAGGAUGGACCCGCGUCUGAUUAGCUAGUUGGUGAGGUAACGGCCACCAAGGCGACGAUCAGUAGCCGGCCUGAGAGGGUGUACGGCCACAUUGGGACUGAGACACGGCCCAAACUCCUACGGGAGGCAGCAGUGGGGAAUAUUGGACAAUGGGGGAAACCCUGAUCCAAGCGACGCCGCGUGAACGAUGAAGUAUUCGGUAUGUAAAGUUCUAUCAGCAGGGAAGAUAAUGACGGUACCUGACUAAGAAGCACCGGCUAAAUACGUGCCAGCCGCCGC
This 407-nucleotide ribosomal RNA is filed under the name uncultured bacterium. RNAcentral describes it as "bacterial SSU rRNA". It matches the Rfam family "Bacterial small subunit ribosomal RNA", at positions 94 to 518 of the family's 1533-position model. The record is from RNAcentral.